AUCCCCAAGAAUUUGACCAAUUCCUUAUCAAAUCAAAAGCAAUGGACACGUAUCGGAGCUUACAAAUUUAACUAUUCUAUAAUCUCCUUACUCAUCUUUUGCUCGGUUGGGAGACGGGCGGAAAGCCAAAGGUUGUGGAGAGGGUGUUAAGGUUGGAAGUUGAAAGUUGUAUGGGCUUAAUAUUGUAACACUCCACAUUUAAUUUGGUUGAUAGAUUCGAAUGCAUGAUGUCACAUUACGUUAUCGAAACAAUUUAAUCAUCAAUCAUACUCAC
RNAcentral lists this long non-coding RNA (274 nucleotides) under Gossypium barbadense (sea-island cotton). RNAcentral describes it as "long non-coding RNA (GBAR_LNC012987)". Lineage: Eukaryota; Viridiplantae; Streptophyta; Magnoliopsida; Malvales; Malvaceae. The record is from RNAcentral.